RNAcentral lists this ribosomal RNA (720 nucleotides) under uncultured Planctomycetota bacterium. Its description in RNAcentral is "bacterial SSU rRNA". It matches the Rfam family "Bacterial small subunit ribosomal RNA", at positions 97 to 831 of the family's 1533-position model. Lineage: Bacteria; Pseudomonadati; Planctomycetota. The record is from RNAcentral.
GGCGAACGGGUGAGUAACACGUGAGUAACCUGCCCCCGACUCUGGGAUAACUUCGAGAAAUCGGAGCUAAUACCGGAUACGAGACGCACAGGCAUCUGUAGCGUCUGGAAAGAACUUCGGUCAGGGAUGGACUCGCGGCCUAUCAGCUAGUUGGUGAGGUAAUGGCUCACCAAGGCGACGACGGGUAGCCGGCCUGAGAGGGCGACCGGCCACACUGGGACUGAGACACGGCCCAGACUCCUACGGGAGGCAGCAGUGGGGAAUAUUGCACAAUGGGCGAAAGCCUGAUGCAGCGACGCCGCGUGGGGGAUGAAGGCCUUCGGGUUGUAAACCCCUUUCAGCAGGGAAGAAGCGAAAGUGACGGUACCUGCAGAAGAAGCGCCGGCUAACUACGUGCCAGCAGCCGCGGUAAUACGUAGGGCGCAAGCGUUGUCCGGAAUUAUUGGGCGUAAAGAGCUCGUAGGCGGUUUGUCGCGUCUGCUGUGAAAACCCGAGGCUCAACCUCGGGCCUGCAGUGGGUACGGGCAGACUAGAGUGCGGUAGAGGAGACUGGAAUUCCUGGUGUAGCGGUGGAAUGCGCAGAUAUCAGGAGGAACACCGAUGGCGAAGGCAGGUCUCUGGGCCGCAACUGACGCUGAGGAGCGAAAGCAUGGGGAGCGAACAGGAUUAGAUACCCUGGUAGUCCAUGCCGUAAACGUUGGGCACUAAGUAGAGGGGUUU